GUUAUGAUCGAUGAAGCACGUG
Molecule: microRNA, 22 nt
Filed under: Pristionchus pacificus
Lineage: Eukaryota; Metazoa; Nematoda; Chromadorea; Rhabditida; Neodiplogasteridae
Description: ppc-miR-8318-5p
Source: miRBase by way of RNAcentral